CGGGGUGCAGCAGGCGCGAAAACUCUACAAUGCAGGCAACUGCGAUAGGGGAACAUCGAGUGAUCCUCAUAUUGGGGGUCUGUCCACCCGUCUAAAAAACGGGUGUUAGCAAGGGCCGGGCAAGACCGGUGCCAGCCGCCGCGGUAAUACCGGCGGCUCGAGUGGUGGCCGAUAUUAUUGAGUCUAAAGGGUCCGUAGCCGGCUUUGCAAGUCUCUCGGGAAAUCCAGCGGCUUAACCGUUGGUCGUCCGGGGGGGUACUACAUUGCUUGGGACUGGGAGAGGUAGGAGGUACUCAGGGGGUAGGAGUGAAAUCCUGUAAUCCUUUGGGGACCACCGGUGGCGAAGGCGUCCUACCAGAACAGGUCCGACGGUGAGGGACGAAAGCUAGGGGCACGAACCGGAUUAGAUACCCGGGUAGUCCUAGCCGUAAACGAUGCUCGCUAGGUGUCACAACAGUCGUGAACUGUUGUGGUGCCGUAGGGAAGCCGUGAAGCGAGCCACUUGGGAAGUACGACCGCAAGGUUGAAACUUAAAGGAAUUGGCGGGGGA
This 550-nucleotide ribosomal RNA is filed under the name uncultured archaeon. RNAcentral's name for it is "bacterial SSU rRNA". It matches the Rfam family "Archaeal small subunit ribosomal RNA", at positions 326 to 875 of the family's 1478-position model. The record is from RNAcentral.